This 1344-nucleotide long non-coding RNA is filed under the name Drosophila melanogaster (fruit fly). Its description in RNAcentral is "antisense RNA:CR45968 (Dmel_CR45968)". Lineage: Eukaryota; Metazoa; Arthropoda; Insecta; Diptera; Drosophilidae. The record is from RNAcentral.
CAAUAAACAAAAAAUUUCAGUGAAGUUGAAUUUAUUUAUAUUUUCUGAAACUUCGCAAUAAAAAAGCCCACAGUGUCCGCAUUUGCUCCGCUUGGACCGAAGCGCUGCAACAGACGAGAUUUACAUGCCUCGAAACCGGGAAGCGGAAGUCCGGGACCGCCCCACCGGGGAGUGGCAUCUGUUAGCCGCAGCUCGACAAAUUUUCUUAGUGCCCAGGCCACAAGACAUUCGCACUCAUCCUCGGUGACGGUGCACGUGCUAUAUACAAGGAUGCCGCCAGGACGAACGAGCUGCACUGCCUGUUCAAAUAGCCGGCGCUGAAUAUGGGGAUAUGAGGACAAGACCUUAACCUGUUUAAUGCUGCAGGACAACUGUGGCCGGUUGCCCAGCCCACUGCAGGGUGCAUCGAGCAAGAUUCGGUCAAAGCUUUCACAUGGAAACGGAGGCCCAGUGAAUUCUCCCACGGGUGCAGAUGGAGCGUCCGCUGCCACUGCCUCGGUGGAGUUAAAAACAUGCGCCGUUAUGCUUUUGUAGUGUCCCAAUUUGGGCAGCAUGCUGCGGACGCGACUGGCCGAAUUGUCUAGGGCCACCACAGAUCCCCGAUCGCCCAUCAACUCGGCUAUGUGGCUUGUUUUGUUACCCGGAGCGGCACACAUGUCCAGUAUGCGCUCGCCGGGCUGCGGAUCCAGGACACGGACGCAAACAAUAGAAGGCAGGUUUUGCAACAGGCCGUCUUCGCUGCUUAGAUCCCCCAGCGUGGGCACUCCGCUGACGUUGGACUGCAUUUCCACGGCCACUCCAGAGGCGGGCUUCUCCGCGUUGUUGAACAGCUGAUACCGCUGCAUUAACACCUUGCCUGUACCCAGGAAAACCUUAUUUGGGCUUUCGUACCGCUUGACCGUCCCGCGCUUGCAUUUUCCAUCCAGAUCUGCGUAGACAUUGACGAGUUCCUCCCGCUCAGUGUUUGACUCCAUAGCUAAAACACCGGGGGCGUAUAUGUGGGCGCCUCGCAGUAGUGCAGCUCCGCAGUUAGUGUCAACCACUACCUCCUUGAGCUCGGAGUCGGCCACAGCUUUGGUGAGCUGUGAGUCCAGCGGAUCAAUGCACAACAUCUCGGGUAGGUUUGGCAAGCAGUAAAUCCUUGGAGAUUUUACACCGUAGCGAAUGGCGAGUUUUUCUUCUAACUUUUUCCGAAAGUCGUCAACGGAACACCUAAGAGUGUUCACCCUGUAAGUGGUGACUUUGGGAGUAAGGCACAGCCAUUCCAACAGCGGAGCAAGUGCAGCAGACUUGACAAAACCAGGAAUUAACAGUUAAUAAAAUUUGCAAGCCAGUUUUUGUUGU